AUUGAACGCUGGCGGCAUGCCUUACACAUGCAAGUCGAUCGGUAACAGGUCUUCGGAUGCUGACGAGUGGCGAACGGGUGAGCAAUACAUCGGAACGUGCCUAGUAGUGGGGGAUAACUACUCGAAAGAGUGGCUAAUACCGUAUGAGCUCUACGGAUGAAAGCAGGGGAUCGCAAGACCUUGUGCUAUUAGAGCGGCCGAUGGCGGAUUAGGUAGUUGGUGGGAUAAAAGCUUACCAAGCCGACGAUCUGUAGCUGGUCUGAGAGGACGAUCAGCCACACUGGGAUUGAGACACGGCCCAGACUCCUACGGGAGGCAGCAGUGGGGAAUUUUGGACAAUGGGCGCAAGCCUGAUCCAGCAAUGCCGCGUGCAGGAUGAAGGCCUUCGGGUUGUAAACUGCUUUUGUACGGAACGAAAAGCCCCGAGUUAAUACCCUGGGGUAAUGACGGUACCGUAAGAAUAAGCACCGGCUAACUACGUGCCAGCCGCCGCCGUAA
This 498-nucleotide ribosomal RNA is filed under the name uncultured bacterium. RNAcentral describes it as "partial 16S ribosomal RNA". It matches the Rfam family "Bacterial small subunit ribosomal RNA", at positions 30 to 523 of the family's 1533-position model. The record is from RNAcentral.